This 601-nucleotide long non-coding RNA is filed under the name Homo sapiens (human). RNAcentral's name for it is "non-protein coding lnc-SLCO3A1-3:1". The record is from RNAcentral. Lineage: Eukaryota; Metazoa; Chordata; Mammalia; Primates; Hominidae.
UGGCUGAAGACACCUCUUCACAUAAGAUGGUGACAACAAAUCACAGGCGCAGUCUCACCAAAAUCACAGAUCAGUUGAAAAUCCUCAUCAAUACCUUCAAUCAAAAACCUUACCCAGGUUAUGCUACCAAACAAAAACUUGCUUUAGAAAUCAAUACGGAAGAGUCCAGAAUCCAGAUUUGGUUUCAGAAUUGAAGAGCUGGAUUCCAGAAAAGACCAGAACCUGGGACUUUAGAAUCAAGCCAGAGCCAUGGGCAAGAUCGACCUGAUGCAGAGUUUCAAAGUAGAGAAGCCAGAUGGUGUUGUACCACCUACAGCGCCUCUCAAUUAAGCACUCUCAUCAAGGCAUCUAUGAAAAGCCCAUACCCUGGGAUUGAUUCCAGAGAACAAGUUGCUGAAGAAAUUGGUGUUCCAGAGUUAAGAGUCCAAAUCUGGUUCCAAAACUGAAGAUCUAGAUUUCAUCUCCAGAGAAACAGGGAACCUGUUGUGUCCUUAGAACAAGAAGACCAGGGGCAAGAUUUCUGAGGGACAUCAAGGUACAGAAGAUACACAAAAUGGCACCAACCUCACUAGCAAUUCUCAUUUCUAUAGAGCCAGAAGGU